RNAcentral lists this ribosomal RNA (1173 nucleotides) under uncultured bacterium. RNAcentral describes it as "bacterial SSU rRNA". It matches the Rfam family "Bacterial small subunit ribosomal RNA", at positions 26 to 1164 of the family's 1533-position model. The record is from RNAcentral.
AGGACGAACGCUGGCGGCGUGCCUAAUACAUGCAAGUCGAACGCACUGACGUCGACAGAAGGUGCUUGCACUGGAAGUUGAUUGACGUGAGUGGCGGACGGGUGAGUAACACGUGGGUAACCUGCCCUUAAGCGGGGGAUAACAUUUGGAAACAGAUGCUAAUACCGCAUAAAAGUUGAGAUCACAUGGUCUUAAUUUGAAAGACGGCCUUUGGCUGUCACUUAAGGAUGGACCCGCGGCGUAUUAGCUAGUUGGUGAGAUAAUAGCCCACCAAGGCGAUGAUACGUAGCCGACCUGAGAGGGUAAUCGGCCACAUUGGGACUGAGACACGGCCCAAACUCCUACGGGAGGCAGCAGUAGGGAAUCUUCCACAAUGGACGAAAGUCUGAUGGAGCAACGCCGCGUGAGUGAAGAAGGUUUUCGGAUCGUAAAACUCUGUUGUUGGAGAAGAACAGGGACUAGAGUAACUGUUAGUCCUUUGACGGUAUCCAACCAGAAAGCCACGGCUAACUACGUGCCAGCAGCCGCGGUAAUACGUAGGUGGCAAGCGUUGUCCGGAUUUAUUGGGCGUAAAGCGAGCGCAGGCGGUUUCUUAAGUCUGAUGUGAAAGCCUUCGGCUUAACCGAAGAAGUGCAUCAGAUACUGGGAAACUUGAGUGCAGAAGAGGGAAGUGGAACUCCAUGUGUAGCGGUGAAAUGCGUAGAUAUAUGGAAGAACACCAGUGGCGAAGGCGGCUUUCUGGUCUGUAACUGACGCUGAGGCUCGAAAGUAUGGGGAGCGAACAGGAUUAGAUACCCUGGUAGUCCAUACCGUAAACGAUGAAUGCUAAGUGUUGGAGGGUUUCCGCCCUUCAGUGCUGCAGCUAACGCAUUAAGCAUUCCGCCUGGGGAGUACGACCGCAAGGUUGAAACUCAAAGGAAUUGACGGGGGCCCGCACAAGCGGUGGAGCAUGUGGUUUAAUUCGAAGCUACGCGAAGAACCUUACCAGGUCUUGACAUCUAGCGCCAAUCCUAGAGAUAGGACGUUCCCUUCGGGGACGCUAAGACAGGUGGUGCAUGGUUGUCGUCAGCUCGUGUCGUGAGAUGUUGGGUUAAGUCCCGCAACGAGCGCAACCCUUAUGAUUAGUUGCCAGCAUUUAGUUGGGCACUCUAAUCAGACUGCCGGUGACAAACC